GGGGAUGACGGGAUUCGCUGAGUUAGCCCUUUGAAAACACGUCAAGCCGAGCUUGAGUCAAGCUCGUAAAACAGGCUCAAACACAAGUGCUAAUUUAAAAGCACGCGUAGAGGGACUGAUUGCUAAAAUCAAUCCCUUUAUCUCUCGUCCCGCGUACGCAAUCGCUUAAGCUCGGAUGAGACGUCUCUUUUUGCUUCCUCGACUGCAAGAUAGAGGCGACAACCAAUCGAGGUGCCAUCUGUUAGGUCCGGUUAGACCUCAUCAGAAAUAAGCCAAACUAACCAAAAACAACAAGCUUGUACAAACGUGUUUCAAUCCUAAUUCAUACGGGGGUUCAACUCCCCCCAUCUCCACUA
This 356-nucleotide transfer-messenger RNA is filed under the name Patescibacteria group. RNAcentral describes it as "WO2-48-25 sp001773695 Standard tmRNA". It matches the Rfam family "transfer-messenger RNA". From Rfam's summary of the family: Bacterial tmRNA, also known as 10Sa RNA or SsrA, is named for its dual tRNA and mRNA-like properties. Its role is to liberate the mRNA from a stalled ribosome. To accomplish this part of the tmRNA is used as a reading frame that ends in a translation stop signal. RNAcentral also lists the same sequence under 2 other names. The record is from RNAcentral.